Molecule: ribosomal RNA, 253 nt
Filed under: uncultured bacterium
Lineage: Bacteria
Description: partial 16S ribosomal RNA
Rfam family: Bacterial small subunit ribosomal RNA
Source: RNAcentral
UACGUAGGGUGCGAGCGUUAAUCGGAAUUACUGGGCGUAAAGCGUGCGUAGUCGGCUUUUUAAGUCGGGUGUGAAAUCCCCGGGCUCAACCUGGGAAUUGCAUUCGAUACUGGAUAGCUAGAGUUCGGCAGAGGGAAGUGGAAUUUCUGGUGUAGCGGUGAAAUGCGUAGAUAUCAGAAGGAACAUCAGUGGCGAAAGCGACUUCCUGGACCAGAACUGACGAUCAGGCACGAAAGCGUGGGGAGCAAACAGG